Molecule: ribosomal RNA, 260 nt
Filed under: uncultured bacterium
Lineage: Bacteria
Description: partial 16S ribosomal RNA
Rfam family: Bacterial small subunit ribosomal RNA
Source: RNAcentral
GUCCACGCCCUAAACGAUGGAUACUCGACAUUUGCGAUAAACUGCAAGUGUCUGAGCGAAAGCAUUAAGUAUCCCACCUGGGAAGUACGAUCGCAAGAUUGAAACUCAAAGGAAUUGGCGGGGUCCGCACAAGCGGUGUAGCAUGUGGUUUAAUUCGAUGAUACGCGAGGAACCUUACCUGGGCUAGAAUGUCAGUGGACCGUGGGUGAAAGCUCAUUUUGUAGCAAUACACCGCUGAUAAGGUGCUGCAUGGCUGUCGU